Molecule: long non-coding RNA, 210 nt
Filed under: Elaeis guineensis (African oil palm)
Lineage: Eukaryota; Viridiplantae; Streptophyta; Magnoliopsida; Arecales; Arecaceae
Description: long non-coding RNA (EGUI_LNC062567)
Source: RNAcentral
CACACUGCUAUGACAAUCUACUGCUGGACACUGUGAUACUUCUGCCUCAUAGUUAUCGAGGUUCCUGAUCUGCGCCAGGAGAGUCCUAACGGACUUGUGAAUUAUCAUAUAUCUAUGGCUCCGACCCACUCACACACACACACAACACUACUGCUUCCACGCAUAUGCAGUUGGCCCGGGUCAAUCUGGUAUCAGAGCCAUUUUCAUAUC